AGCGCAGGCGGUUUCUUAAGUCUGAUGUGAAAGCCUUCGGUUCAACCGAAGAAGUGCAUCGGAAACUGGGAAACUUGAGUGCAGAAGAGGACAGUGGAACUCCAUGUGUAGCGGUGAAAUGCGUAGAUAUACGGAAGAACACCAGUGGCGAAGGCGGCUGUCUGGUCUGUAACUGACGCUGAGGCUCGAAAGCAUGGGUAGCAAACA
RNAcentral lists this ribosomal RNA (207 nucleotides) under uncultured bacterium. RNAcentral describes it as "partial 16S ribosomal RNA". It matches the Rfam family "Bacterial small subunit ribosomal RNA", at positions 568 to 774 of the family's 1533-position model. The record is from RNAcentral.